CAGACGCUCCAGAAAACUUGACUGCGUGUGAUUUCUUUACUGCUUCGCGAAUUUGCGUUCGCUACAGAGAACAGACACCCUUGCACCGCCUCCGAAGAUUCGCUAUUCAUAGAAGUACCGUAUAUAAGCUGUCUAGACUUCCGUUCCCGGAAGUGCGGUUCACAAUUGGAAUCCAACAGUGAUAAUAGCAAAAUCUACUAGUUCAACAAAUUAAUCUGCUUGUGUUUACGCUCCAUUUCGAACUUUGAUCCUGUUUUUCCUCGCAUCCACACUUCGGAAAGUAACCACCCAGUUACAGUACGUUGCAUUCUUUUACAAAGCUCCUUGCAACGAUGGAAAAUCUUGGAAAACAGUGGAUGGAAUUCAUGCGCCGGCAGUCGGCCCGGACGGCCAUGGAUCCGCACGCAAAGACCAAGGCAGCCGUCGCCUUGGCCGUUAUGCUCUUCAUCGCCUAUGGUCUGCCCAAGGCCCACGCCGGUCCCGUUUCCUGUGGCGCAUGUGUAACAUUCGCCUGUCAAGCGUGCGCCUCCCUCGUGGCUGCCGGUGGUGCCUGUGCCACACUGACAGCGGUUCCACCUUUACUCUGUGCCUGCCUGCUGGCAUAUGGUGGACUAGGUUGCGUCAUCGCUGCGGGAACGUGCGUGGCUAUAUGCCUUACACCCACUAUAUGACGAUAUUUGCCGUAAUAGUGACAACGGCUGGCAUUUUGCUGUAAAUGUACUGAUUUUUAAAUCCAGUUUGGUUGUUAUAAUAGUUUUUUAUAACUACCCCAUUUGAUUUUAAGUUUUCUAAUUUGCUACUGUUGCUACAUACAACUUAUUGUACAUGGUGGGUGCAAUUGCGCAAGAACUAUCUUGUUUG
Paramacrobiotus metropolitanus is the source of this 861-nucleotide long non-coding RNA. RefSeq lists it as uncharacterized. The transcript is spliced from 2 exons. The record is from RefSeq and is a predicted model, not a curated record. Lineage: Eukaryota; Metazoa; Tardigrada; Eutardigrada; Parachela; Macrobiotidae.